UACGUAGGGUGCAAGCGUUAAUCGGAAUACUGGGCGUAAAGCGUGCGCAGGCGGUGAUGUAAGAACAGAUGUGAAAUCCCCCGGGCUCAACCUGGGAACUGCAUUUGUGACUGCAUCGCUGGAGUGCGGCAGAGGGGGAUGGAAUUCCGCGUGUAGCAGUGAAAUGCGUAGAUAUGCGGAGGAACACCGAUGGCGAAGGCAAUCCCCUGGCCUGCACUGACGCUCAUGCACGAAAGCG
RNAcentral lists this ribosomal RNA (238 nucleotides) under uncultured bacterium. RNAcentral's name for it is "partial 16S ribosomal RNA". It matches the Rfam family "Bacterial small subunit ribosomal RNA", at positions 524 to 761 of the family's 1533-position model. The record is from RNAcentral.